UUCACAAAACAGCCCGUUGGCAUUAGUUCUGCUUUACGUAAGGUAAGCGCAAUGUGGGGCACUGGGACAAUUAUUUCCUUUUCCGAUGAGUAGGUGACUCUGCUGAAAUUGCUUCCCUUACUUUAUUUAUUGCCUGGAGGUGCAUAAUGAUUCCAAACCAGGUUCCUGUCAGGGCUGCCAUGGCAGGGGAAGGGCAGAGGCACGUGAGCUCAGGGUCUGCAGAGGUUUGGCUAAGCGAAGGGGGUUUGUGAAGAAAAGAAGUCCAAACGGAAGAGGAGUAAGAAACGCUUGGGGAGCGGGGCGGGUGGAGAUUCAUUUGAGUGGAAGCCCCUCAAACCGGGCAGAAACUUCUUUCUCUAACCUAGCAUUACCUUGAACUAUGCUCUAUUUAAAACAAAACAAAAUGAAAACAAAAACAAAAGAAAUCCAGAAAACAAAAAUGAAACGAAAGGAAACAGUAACAUCCCAACAAUUUUAAAUGAGCAGGCUUAAUAAUUUUAAGAUUUGAAGCCACAAGCAGGUAAAUAAACUUCACGACAAAAUGUGGCUCAUAGCAUGGAUCCCAUAGGUCAUCCAAUAUCAGAAUGUCAUUCAUCGAGACUGCGCUAAAGGUCAAGUUUCCCCUGCACUGAACUUGGCUCGGGAUUCCACCACAGAAUACACCUGCUCGCUACAGUGCUGACAUACUCAGUAACGGAGUGCGGAAGGUCACGGCGUUGCGUCAUUGUCUUAAAGUGUGCAUUAUGUCCUUAGGAGUCAUUUGCCUUACGUCGUUUUUUAACAGGCCCUGGUUGUCUCUCACUUUACUCUCUUCUUUCCUCUUUUCUCUCUUUUUUUUUUUUUUUGGCAGUGUUAUUUUGUUAAAUACAUACCUCAAAAAUUACCCAUUAAGCUGCCAGAUAGGAAGCCAUAGAAUUAAAAAAAAAAAUCAGGGACAAACACACAAAAUAAAUAGGAAUUCAAAAAUAGUUACCCCGCCCUGAGAGCAGGCUGCAGUUUCUCCAAAAGUCAAAGCGACUCACUGUGAAGUGGUAUUAUUUUUUAUACAUACACGAGUCUUUUGUUUAAGAACUCAUUUCACAGUCUAGUCCUUCAAAUUGUAAAGUUCUCUGUCCCAUGCAAUUUUUAAUAUAUAUAUGUAAAUAUAGAGAUAUGUACAUAUACAUAUACACACACACUCGUAGCUUCCUUCAUUUAUUUCCUGGGUCUUCCCAUCCUGGAACUUGUCUGGUGUCUCUUCGUAGGUCCAAGAAUGAUGGCAGGGUCUCCCGUGACUAGAAUUACUAUGGUCCAGUCAAUUGUAAAAGUUUAACACUUAGUGUCUUUGCCAAGGCGACGUCUGAUUCAGAAACUCUGAGUUCACUCAGUCUAUAGGCUAUCCUGUGUAACAGAGGAAUGCCAUUAAGGGUAAGAAAAAUAAAACAGACAU
RNAcentral lists this long non-coding RNA (1429 nucleotides) under Rattus norvegicus (Norway rat). RNAcentral describes it as "long non-coding RNA NONRATT029393". Lineage: Eukaryota; Metazoa; Chordata; Mammalia; Rodentia; Muridae. The record is from RNAcentral.